AGUUGGUGGAGUGAUUUGUCUGGUUAAUUCCGUUAACGAACGAGACCCCAGCCUGCUAAAUAAUCACGUGAAUAAUUUUUUAUUGACGAUGGUUUCUUAGAGGGACAUGUGUUUUUAAGACACCGGAAGAUUGGGGCAAUAACAGG
RNAcentral lists this ribosomal RNA (146 nucleotides) under Ochrophyta sp. RNAcentral describes it as "partial small subunit ribosomal RNA". It matches the Rfam family "Eukaryotic small subunit ribosomal RNA", at positions 1296 to 1460 of the family's 1831-position model. The record is from RNAcentral.